Molecule: long non-coding RNA, 1658 nt
Filed under: Medicago truncatula (barrel medic)
Lineage: Eukaryota; Viridiplantae; Streptophyta; Magnoliopsida; Fabales; Fabaceae
Description: lncRNA gene18228
Source: RNAcentral
CUCCCGCAUAAGAAUUCAAAUGGAAUAAGAAAAUAAACAUAUCAUUCAGAUUCAAUUGUCACAAAUAUAUCAAAAACUCCACCAAAAUUAAACAAUAAAAUGAGAUAGUAGAUUGCUAAAACUCACUUAGAUAAACAAUUUAUAAAACAAAACAAGUUUUGGAUUCAGCCACUCCUUGAAAGGAGUCCUAAUCUGGCUACAACAAACUAUAAAGAGAAACCUAGUCAAACAAACUAAAGCCCAUGUCAUCGUCACUUUCUUCCUUGGCUUCCUCCUACAAACACAGUAUGAAAUGCAUUAAGUUCAAUAUAUACAACAUUAUAAUCAAAACAAAUUGAAGUAAUAAGGCAUGUCUACGAAGAGCUCAUAAUUUACAAGUUACUAUAACAAAGCUAUAAUACAACAUUAAACAAUCGAAAAGACCUAAAUGUAAAAAAUGAGGAUACAGGGCCUGUUAUAAUUGGCCUACUUAAGUUUGCAUAAGUUUUGUGAGACUGUUUGGGAGAAUUCAUGAAAUCAACUUAAGACAAUUUGCACAGGCUAACAAGUUAAAUUUAUUUUAUCUUAUCUUGAGGGCUUAUCAAGAAAAGCGCUACAAAAAUAAGCUGUACAAAGUUGCAAAUCCAAAGAGUCAAAUAAUUAUAUUCAGAGUUGCCUCGAAAAGGAUAGACCGAUUGUCAAAUCCCAACGAUGAGAAAAAACGUUGUACUACUUCAGAAAUCAAAUUAACUCCAUGUUUUCGUGCAACUUAUAACAAAAGUAUUGAUGCAACAUAUUUUCUUAGAGUAAUUGCAGCUAAAUGACAGUAUUUAUCUGAUACAGAUUCACCUCAAAGCAAAAUGAGGAAUAAAAUAGCUAGAAAAAUUAUAUCUUUUAAACCCAGAUACAAGUUUUACAAAAUAGGUAUAACACCAACUUGAUCACAACACUAUAGACAAUCAAAAAACCUUCAAUAUGCUUUACAAGACAGAAGCAUAGAUAAAGAAAUUCAACAGAACAAACAAUGUCAAUCAAAUCAAUUCAAGUUUUUAUACUAAGGAAUAUUCAAAUACUAUUAUACAACCUCUUUUUCAGAACUAGAGGAAUUCAUUUAACACUACAAUACAGAUAAAUCCUAUUAGUUUUUAUAGUAAGGAAUAUUGCAAUACUAUCAAAACCGUAUCUAAUUUCAAUCCUAUUGGUUCAUUUCACCAUUCAGUAAAUCAUCUUUACACAAUUUCAUACAAAAAUCAGAAUCAAAAAAGAAAGAAUUAAAAUUGAUACCUUCUUUUCCACGGCGGCAGGUUCGGCUGCUGCUGCGGUUCCACCACCAGCAGCAGGUGCAGAUACGGCAACGGCGGCACCACCAACAGCGCCGGAGUUCAAAACGAGAUCAUCAACGUUCUUGCUCUGAGCAAGCUUAGCGAAUAGGCUUGGCCAGUAAGAUUCAACGGUGACGUUAGCAGCCUUCAACAAAGUGCCGAUCUUCUCCGCCUAAACAAAAACCCAAAAAGUAACACAAAAAUGAGAUCUAUGAGCGAUUUGGAGAUUAUUGAAAUCGAAUUGAAGAGAUAUAAUAGACUUACGGUGAUUGGGAUUCCAUCGUCGUGGAGGAUCAAGGUGGCGUAAAUGCAGCCCAAUUCGCCGGAACUCAUUUUGUGAAUUGUGAUUGUUCUGCC